Sphingomonas sp. WG is the source of this 63-nucleotide regulatory RNA element. It matches the Rfam family "terC RNA". Lineage: Bacteria; Pseudomonadati; Pseudomonadota; Alphaproteobacteria; Sphingomonadales; Sphingomonadaceae. The record is from Rfam.
GUGCGGGACCGGGCCCCUCUGGCGGCGGCUUCACCUGAAGCCCCGUGAUGUCGGACCGCAUCG